This 492-nucleotide ribosomal RNA is filed under the name uncultured bacterium. RNAcentral describes it as "partial 16S ribosomal RNA". It matches the Rfam family "Bacterial small subunit ribosomal RNA", at positions 29 to 507 of the family's 1533-position model. The record is from RNAcentral.
AGUGAACGCUGGCGGUAGGCCUAACACAUGCAAGUCGAACGGCAGCACAGUAAGAGCUUGCUCUUACGGGUGGCGAGUGGCGGACGGGUGAGGAAUACAUCGGAAUCUACUUUUUCGUGGGGGAUAACGUAGGGAAACUUACGCUAAUACCGCAUACGACCUACGGGUGAAAGCAGGGGAUCUUCGGACCUUGCGCGAUUGAAUGAGCCGAUGUCGGAUUAGCUAGUUGGCGGGGUAAAGGCCCACCAAGGCGACGAUCCGUAGCUGGUCCGAGAGGAUGAUCGGCCACACUGGAACUGAGACACGGUCCAGACUCCUACGGGAGGCAGCAGUGGGGAAUAUUGGACAAUGGGCGCAAGCCUGAUCCAGCCAUACCGCGUGGGUGAAGAAGGCCUUCGGGUUGUAAAGCCCUUUUGUUGGGAAAGAAAAGCAGCAGGUUAAUACCCCGCUGUUCUGACGGUACCCAAAGAAUAAGCACCGGCUAACUUCGUG